Molecule: ribosomal RNA, 254 nt
Filed under: uncultured bacterium
Lineage: Bacteria
Description: partial 16S ribosomal RNA
Rfam family: Bacterial small subunit ribosomal RNA
Source: RNAcentral
UACGGGGGGGGCAAGCGUUGUUCGGAAUUAUUGGGCGUAAAGAGCUCGUAGGCGGUGUGUCACGUCGUUCGUGAAAACCUGCAGCUUAACUGUGGGCGUGCGGUCGAUACGGGCAUCACUGGAGUUCGGCAGGGGAGACUGGAAUUCCUGGUGUAGCGGUGAAAUGCGUAGAGAUCAUGAGGAAGACCAGUGGCGAAGGCGGGUCUCUGGACAGUUCCUGACACUGAGACACGAAGGCCAGGGGAGCAAACGGG